CUUGACCGAGCCGAGCAGCAGCGGACGGUCCUCCGGGCGGUCCUGGCCGUAGGUGGCGAGGAGCGCCUGGGCCUC
RNAcentral lists this antisense RNA (75 nucleotides) under Streptomyces sp. ScaeMP-6W. Its description in RNAcentral is "ASpks TB sRNA". It matches the Rfam family "ASpks TB sRNA". Lineage: Bacteria; Bacillati; Actinomycetota; Actinomycetes; Kitasatosporales; Streptomycetaceae. The record is from RNAcentral.